This 497-nucleotide ribosomal RNA is filed under the name uncultured bacterium. Its description in RNAcentral is "partial 16S ribosomal RNA". It matches the Rfam family "Bacterial small subunit ribosomal RNA", at positions 28 to 507 of the family's 1533-position model. The record is from RNAcentral.
GAUGAACGCUGGCGGCGUGCCUAAUACAUGCAAGUCGAGCGAACAGACGAGGAGCUUGCUCCUCUGAUGUUAGCGGCGGACGGGUGAGUAACACGUGGAUAACCUACCUAUAAGACUGGGAUAACUUCGGGAAACCGGAGCUAAUACCGGAUAACAUGUUGAACCGCAUGGUUCAACAGUGAAAGACGGUCUUGCUGUCACUUAUAGAUGGAUCCGCGCCGCAUUAGCUAGUUGGUAAGGUAACGGCUUACCAAGGCAACGAUGCGUAGCCGACCUGAGAGGGUGAUCGGCCACACUGGAACUGAGACACGGUCCAGACUCCUACGGGAGGCAGCAGUAGGGAAUCUUCCGCAAUGGGCGAAAGCCUGACGGAGCAACGCCGCGUGAGUGAAGAAGGUCUUCGGAUCGUAAAACUCUGUUAUUAGGGAAGAACAAAUGUUUAAGUAACUAUGCACGUCUUGACGGUACCUAAUCAGAAAGCCACGGCUAACUACGUG